UGGGGAAUAUUGCACAAUGGGCGCAAGCCUGAUGCAGCCAUGCCGCGUGUAUGAAGAAGGCCUUCGGGUUGUAAAGUACUUUCAGCGAGGAGGAAGGCGUUGUGGUUAAUAACCGCAACGAUUGACGUUACUCGCAGAAGAAGCACCGGCUAACUCCGUGCCAGCAGCCGCGGUAAUACGGAGGGUGCAAGCGUUAAUCGGAAUUACUGGGCGUAAAGCGCACGCAGGCGGUCUGUCAAGUCGGAUGUGAAAUCCCCGGGCUCAACCUGGAAACUGCAUCCGAAACUGGCAGGCUAGAGUCUUGUAGAGGGGGGUAGAAUUCCAGGUGUAGCGGUGAAAUGCGUAGAGAUCUGGAGGAAUACCGGUGGCGAAGGCGGCCCCCUGGACAAAGACUGACGCUCAGGUGCGAAAGCGUGGGGAGCAAACA
This 427-nucleotide ribosomal RNA is filed under the name uncultured bacterium. RNAcentral's name for it is "partial 16S ribosomal RNA". It matches the Rfam family "Bacterial small subunit ribosomal RNA", at positions 355 to 774 of the family's 1533-position model. The record is from RNAcentral.